GACGAACGCUGGCGGCGUGCUUAACACAUGCAAGUCGAACGGAAAGGCCCUGCUUUUGUGGGGUGCUCGAGUGGCGAACGGGUGAGUAACACGUGAGUAACCUGCCCUUGACUUUGGGAUAACUUCAGGAAACUGGGGCUAAUACCGGAUAGGAGCUCCUGCUGCAUGGUGGGGGUUGGAAAGUUUCGGCGGUUGGGGAUGGACUCGCGGCUUAUCCGCUUGUUGGUGGGGUAGUGGCUUACCAAGGCUUUGACGGGUAGCCGGCCUGGGAGGGUGACCGGCCACAUUGGGACUGGGAUACGGCCCAGACUCCUACGGGAGGCAGCAGUGGGGAAUAGAGCACAAUGGGCGGAAGCCUGAUGCAGUAACGCCGCGUGCGGGAUGACGGCCUUCGGGUUGUAAACCGCUUUCGCCUGUGACGGAGCGUGAGUGACGGUAAUGGGUAAAGAAGCACCGGCUAACUACGU
Molecule: ribosomal RNA, 467 nt
Filed under: uncultured bacterium
Lineage: Bacteria
Description: partial 16S ribosomal RNA
Rfam family: Bacterial small subunit ribosomal RNA
Source: RNAcentral